This 204-nucleotide long non-coding RNA is filed under the name Hordeum vulgare. RNAcentral's name for it is "long non-coding RNA (HVUL_LNC011627)". The record is from RNAcentral. Lineage: Eukaryota; Viridiplantae; Streptophyta; Magnoliopsida; Poales; Poaceae.
UGAUUUCUUAUAUGCAUGAUUUGAAAUCUUUGUAAGUCUCUCUCUGAGUCUUGGGUUUUGUUUGGCCAACUAGAUCUAUGAUUCUUGCAAUGGGAGAAGUACUUGAUUUUGGGUUCAUACCGUGUGGUGAGCUUUCCCAGUGACAGAAAGGGAAGCAAGGCACGCAUCGUUUUGUUGCCAUCAAGGGUAACAAGAUGGGCUUUU